AACAACAACAACCAAAACCAAAAAGCAAACAAAAAGAACUCGAGCCCAGAACCUCAGGAUCAUUUCUGGUCGCUGUCCCAGGAAGCUCCCGGGACAAAUCUGGUCGAGGUACACCCAGGUCAGGUUGGGUCUGUGCCAUCGCGCUUCGUCAAGCCCACGCCCGCGGCGCCCUCCCCGCCUCCUCCCGGUCGGCUGCACAAUCCUCCCCCGGCUCUCGGAGAUGGGCAGCGCGGUCGCCAGCCAGCCCGCUGCGCCGAGGUGUUUGUGGCUGGGAGGACGGUCCCCUAUCGCCCAGACUCGGUUUGCGUCCUUCCUUCAACCUUGACUGCGGGUCCCUGCCACUCGCAAUAACACCACCACAUCCUCUGCACCGAAACUUCCCGCCAAGCAACACCCAGCCAAUUAACCCCAUCCUCUCCCCCAACACAGAAUUCCACCCACGAACCUAUUCCCUCUCCCCGCGCUUCAGACACCUCUCUCAUCGGAAAACCGCGUGAAGGGAAGCAGGCACUCAGGAGAGGACCCUGGCUGAAUUAGUAAGUUUUUGUUUGUUUUUUUCCCUCAGUCUACCUUUCUCUCCAGAAACCAGUUCCCACGGAAUAGAAGGUGCUGUGUUGAUGCUGAUAAACCCCCUGUCGAUGAAUUCACUUUGCCCUCCCCUCUUACCACCUUCCCAGGUCGGGAACUGUCUCCAGUUAUUGGGGGAUUCAAUCCUGCCAAUUGGGUCAUAAAAAAAAAAAAAUCCAAACCCGGGAGGCUGGCAGGGAACGCAGGGUGCAGGGCCACUUCCUUUUGGGCUCUGCGAGGUCGCCGGGGAAGGGGAGAAAGAAGAGCUCAGUGUUCCUGCCCCGUGCCAGGGCGCUGUGCCACAGAAGGAAAGCAAGCAUUCACUGCCACGAUGGCGGUUCCCAGAAGCUCCUGCCCCUCUGACAGCUGUCGCUUGGGCAGCCCAGGGAGACGAAUUGUCCUCCUUCCUGGUGCUAGAGGACGCAGGAAAUCAGCCAGGUUGCGAGUUGCAAAGCGGCCGCAGCGGCGCCGGGAACUGGACGAGCCCCACCUCCAGCGGGAGCGGCCGGGCCGGGCCAGGCCGGGGCCUCGUCUCGCUCGCCAUCGCCGGACAAAGCACAGCCGAGCCGGGCUAGAAGGCAGAGCGCCGAAGCAGGCAGGACGGAGCGGAGCAAAAGAAUGCGGCUCUAUUCUCGCAAGGGAAAUUAUAAAAAAGUUCAUGUUCACGGUUCCCAUCCACAUGACCGACAGCGGCCAAUGGAAGGGCCGAACAACUCAUAAAGUUGUAUUGCAAAGUUGUAAAUUUUCAUAAACAACAACGGAUUUAUGACCCUUU
Balaenoptera ricei (Rice's whale) is the source of this 1342-nucleotide long non-coding RNA. RefSeq lists it as uncharacterized. The transcript is spliced from 2 exons. NCBI's taxonomy places the organism in Eukaryota, Metazoa, Chordata, Mammalia, Artiodactyla, Balaenopteridae. The record is from RefSeq and is a predicted model, not a curated record.